Small nuclear RNA from Cricetulus griseus (Chinese hamster), 102 nucleotides. The record is from Ensembl. NCBI's taxonomy places the organism in Eukaryota, Metazoa, Chordata, Mammalia, Rodentia, Cricetidae.
AUAAUAUUUGCAGCAUAUAUACUAAAAUUGGAAUGAUAUAGAGAAGAUUAGCAUGGACCCUGUGAAAGGAUGACACAAAUCUGUGAAGUGGUCCAUGCUAUA